This 1224-nucleotide ribosomal RNA is filed under the name metagenome. RNAcentral describes it as "bacterial LSU rRNA". It matches the Rfam family "Bacterial large subunit ribosomal RNA", at positions 1666 to 2910 of the family's 2925-position model. The record is from RNAcentral.
UUCUGGCAGAGUAUGCUAAGGCGCUUGAGAGAACUGUAUUGAAGGAACUAGGCAAAUUGCCCUCGUAACUUCGGAAGAAGAGGGCCCGAUUCUUACGCAAGUAGGAGUCGGGGGCACAUAGCAGGGGGUGGCGACUGUUUACUAAAAACACAGGACGCUGCGAAAUCCAAAGAUGACGUAUAGCGUCUGACGCCUGCCCGGUGCUGGAAGGUUAAGAGGAGAUGUGAAAGCGUUGAAUCGAAGCCCCAGUAAACGGCGGCCGUAACUAUAACGGUCCUAAGGUAGCGAAAUUCCUUGUCGGGUAAGUUCCACCUGCACGAAAGGCGUAACGACUUCCCCACUGUCUCCAAUACAGGCUCAGCGAAAUUGAAUUCCCCGUGAAGAUGCGGGGUUCCCGCGGUCAGACGGAAAGACCCUGUGCACCUUUACUGCAACUUUACACUGGCAUUAGGAAUGGGAUGUGUAGAAUAGGUGGUAGGCAUUGAAACCGCGGCGCUAGCUGUGGUGGAGCCGAAAUGUGAAAUACCACCCUUCUUGUUCCUGAUGUCUAACCGCGGUCCCGAAACGGGAUCCGAGACAGUGUAUGGUAGGCAGUUUGACUGGGGCGGUCGCCUCCCAAAGAGUAACGGAGGCGCGCGAUGGUAGGCUCAAUCCGGUCGGAAAUCGGAUGGUGAGUGCAAUGGCAAAAGCCUGCCUGACUGCAAGGUCGACGGACCAAGCAGAGACGAAAGUCGGUCAUAGUGAUCCGGUGAUCCCGAAUGGAAGGGUCAUCGCUCAACGGAUAAAAGGUACGCCGGGGAUAACAGGCUGAUCGCACCCAAGCGUCCAUAGCGACGGUGCGGUUUGGCACCUCGAUGUCGGCUCAUCACAUCCUGGGGCUGUAGCCGGUCCCAAGGGUAUGGCUGUUCGCCAUUUAAAGUGGUACGUGAGCUGGGUUUAGAACGUCGUGAGACAGUUCGGUCCCUAUCUGCCGUGGGUGUUCGAAACUUGAGAAGACUUUUUCCUAGUACGAGAGGACCGGAAAGAACGUAUCUCUGGUGGAUCGGUUGUCACGCCAGUGGCAUAGCCGAGUAGCUAAAUACGGACGAGAUAACCGCUGAAAGCAUCUAAGCGGGAAACUCACUUCAAAACUAGGUUUCGCUUGAGAGCCGGGGAAGACUACCCCGUCGAUAGGCCAGGUGUGUAAGCGCAGCAAUGCGUUGAGCUUACUGGUACUAAUUGCAC